AUUCUGCCCAAGCGGGGAAGGAUGAGAAGCUUCGACCAAGGUUCGACUUGAGCGCCAGCGAGAGAGCGUUGCCGCAGGCAACGACCCGAAGGGUGAAGCGCGCAGCGCUGAGUAAUCCUUCCCCCACCACCA
Molecule: small RNA, 132 nt
Filed under: Escherichia coli
Lineage: Bacteria; Pseudomonadati; Pseudomonadota; Gammaproteobacteria; Enterobacterales; Enterobacteriaceae
Also listed under: 1 other name
Description: RtT sRNA
Rfam family: RtT RNA
About the family: This family represents a bacterial cis-regulatory element known as RtT RNA. The exact function of RtT is unknown although it is thought that it may be involved in changing the cellular response in relation to amino acid starvation.
Source: RNAcentral